AUACGUAGGGGGCGAGCGUUGUCCGGAAUGAUUGGGCGUAAAGGGCGCGUAGGCGGCCCGGUAAGUCUGGAGUGAAAGUCCUGUUUUUAAGAUGGGAAUUGCUUUGGAUACUGUCGGGCUUGAGUGCAGGAGAGGUAAGUGGAAUUCCCAGUGUAGCGGUGAAAUGCGUAGAUAUAUGGAGGAACACCAGUGGCGAAGGCGGCUCUCUGGGCUGUAACUGACGCUGAGGCUCGAAAGCGUGGGGAGCAAAAAGGAUUAGAUACCCUGUUAGUCCACACUGUAAACGGUGAAUGCUAGGUGUAGGUGGUAUCGAGCCCUUCUGUGCCGCAGUCAACACAAUAAGCAUUCCGCCUGGGGAGUACGGCCGCAAGGUUGAAACUCAAAUGAAUUGACGGGG
This 397-nucleotide ribosomal RNA is filed under the name uncultured bacterium. RNAcentral describes it as "partial 16S ribosomal RNA". It matches the Rfam family "Bacterial small subunit ribosomal RNA", at positions 523 to 918 of the family's 1533-position model. The record is from RNAcentral.